CUAGUCCAGAGCCUUAUAGGGUUUAGGCAUACUAUAGCUGUCCAGUCCUCCUGGGAAAAGAAUAAGGAUUUACAAUGGCAGACUCAGGGCUGAGUACCCAAGGCUGGAGGCCAGGGGCUAAGGGCAAGGGCUGGAGCUGGGCACUGGCCUUCCAGCUGGGUAUCAGGACGCUGAGGUUAGAGGAGAACAGCUGAGAGUGUGGGAGCUAGGAGGUUGGGGCUGUAGGGGUGGAGACACUGGAGUACGACAGGGUGAAGUCGGCAGGUGAGGAGAGGAAGAGGCUGCAAGGCUUGAGUCUGGGCGACUGGCAGGGAACAGAAAAGAAGGGAUAAGGGGAGGGAGGUACAUGCUGAGAGGUUACAUCCCUGCUGUACCUGACAGACUGGGAGCUCCAGAGCUGAAGUCGGUAAUCCGCCUGACUGAGGAGCGGUAUCGGGAAUGGGGGAAAGUAAGGAAAUGCAGCUUGAAAGGUAGUGUGUGAAGGAGACCUGCUCAGUGCAAGGCAGCGUGGAUUCCCAAGACCAGGUCCCAGGCAGCAGCCGCCAGGUUUGCUCCCAGUGCGCUCCACCCUCCCUGCAAGUCGCACGCCGGUGCCCCCAUCCCCCGUGCCAGCUGCAGGCCAGACUUCACAUCCUAGGCCAGCUCCACACUGGCCAUCUCCACUGCUUAGCUCAGGGAGUUACAAGCAGCAAUCACACUGGGGAACUUGCUCCUCGAGAGGAAGGCUGGGCCGGAAACAAAACCCUGAGCACAGCCUAGAGGAGCGAAAACUUAUGGAAAUCAGACAGUGCCUUGAGAGUCCGCAGUCAAGGACAAGAGUCCCCAUCGGCAUGGAAAACAGGUGGCAUUCAACAAACACGUCAAGGUGACGACGGACGCGGUCCUCCUUUUGGGGCGGGUGACCACAAGGUGGAGCCAAAACGCAACCCUUCACAGCUCACUUGGGCCACCAGGACCGUUUCCCAUGAUGGCUACUUUCCAGCUUGCUUCUGUCAGUCCUUAAUUGCCACAGGUGGUUGUCCUCCCACCUCCAACCCACGAAUCUCCCCAUGAUGAACCCUCAAUACCAUGUCACAUCCAACCCGAGAUAGAAGAUGCACCAUCCUAGUCCUAGUGCCGAAAAGAUUAGACUGUGACCAAAUGGGAAAUAAAUUCAUUGAGUAACAGACUGACA
This 1174-nucleotide long non-coding RNA is filed under the name Urocitellus parryii (Arctic ground squirrel). RNAcentral's name for it is "lncRNA (ENSUPAG00010014141.1)". Lineage: Eukaryota; Metazoa; Chordata; Mammalia; Rodentia; Sciuridae. The record is from RNAcentral.